GAUGAACGCUGGCGGCGUGCCUAAUACAUGCAAGCCGAGCGAACAGACGAGGAGCUUGCUCCUCUGACGUUAGCGGCGGACGGGUGAGUAACACGUGGAUAACCUACCUAUAAGACUGGGAUAACUUCGGGAAACCGGAGCUAAUACCGGAUAAUAUAUUGAACCGCAUGGUUCAAUAGUGAAAGACGGUUUUGCUGUCACUUAUAGAUGGAUCCGCGCCGCAUUAGCUAGUUGGUAAGGUAACGGCUUACCAAGGCAACGAUGCGUAGCCGACCUGAGAGGGUGAUCGGCCACACUGGAACGUAGACACGGUCCAGACUCCUACGGGAGGCAGCAGUAGGGAAUCUUCCGCAAUGGGCGAAAGCCUGACGGAGCAACGCCGCGUGAGUGAUGAAGGUCUUCGGAUCGUAAAACUCUGUUAUUAGGGAAGAACAAAUGUGUAAGUAACUAUGCACGUCUUGACGGUACCUAAUCAGAAAGCCACGGCUAACUACGUG
This 497-nucleotide ribosomal RNA is filed under the name uncultured bacterium. Its description in RNAcentral is "partial 16S ribosomal RNA". It matches the Rfam family "Bacterial small subunit ribosomal RNA", at positions 28 to 507 of the family's 1533-position model. The record is from RNAcentral.